Molecule: ribosomal RNA, 228 nt
Filed under: uncultured bacterium
Lineage: Bacteria
Description: partial 16S ribosomal RNA
Rfam family: Bacterial small subunit ribosomal RNA
Source: RNAcentral
UGCGUAGGCGGAUUAAUAAGUCAGUGGUGAAAUCUUUCGGCUCAACCGAGAAACUGCCAUUGAUACUGUUAAUCUUGAGUUCGGUUGAGGUAGGCGGAAUGUGUAAUGUAGCGGUGAAAUGCUUAGAUAUUACACAGAACACCAAUUGCGUAGGCAGCUUACUAGACCGACACUGACGCUGAGGCACGAAAGCGUGGGGAGCGAACAGGAUUAAUACCCUGGUAGUCC